CCUACGGGUGGCAGCAGUGGGGGAUAUUGGACAAUGGGGGGAACCCUGAUCCAGCGACGCCGCGUGAGUGAAGAAGUAUUUCGGUAUGUAAAGCUCUUUCAGCAGGGAAGAAAGAAAUGACGGUACCUGACCAAGAAGUCUCCCCUAACUACGUGCCAGCAGCCGCCGUUAUACGGAGGGGGCAAGCGUUAUCCGGAUGUACUGGGUGUAAAGGGGUCGUAGGCGGUUAAGUAAGUCUGGGGUGAAAGGCCGGGGCCCAACCACGGUACUGCUCUGGAAACUAUUGAACUUGAGUACAGGAGAGGUAAGCGGAAUUCCUAGUGUAGCGGUGAAAUGCGUAGAUAUUAGGAGGAACACCAGUGGCGAAGGCGGCUUACUGGACUGUAACUGACGUUGAGGCUCGAAAGCGUGGGGAGCAAACAGGAUUAGAUACCCCUGUAGUC
This 443-nucleotide ribosomal RNA is filed under the name uncultured bacterium. RNAcentral describes it as "partial 16S ribosomal RNA". It matches the Rfam family "Bacterial small subunit ribosomal RNA", at positions 338 to 795 of the family's 1533-position model. The record is from RNAcentral.